This 708-nucleotide long non-coding RNA is filed under the name Homo sapiens (human). Its description in RNAcentral is "long intergenic non-protein coding RNA 2693". The record is from RNAcentral. Lineage: Eukaryota; Metazoa; Chordata; Mammalia; Primates; Hominidae.
AUAGAAACCACUCCCUGGGGCUUGGCAAAGCAGGAGCCCUCCGUGGCAGGGCUUCGGUGUCGGGGCUCCGAGGCUCCGGCCUGACUUCUCCACGGGGUCCACAGGAGCGUCUCCGGAUGCCAGGACCUGAAAUGGGCCGACCAGGAUGAGGAAACCACAGGCAGAGGCCGGGGAAGCAGCGCGGCAUCCCAUCCUCAGGCCUGCCCGGACGGUGUUCGGAAUCAUCUCCCCUGCCCCACAAACAUGAAAGAAAAGACAAGAGAAGCACCCCAGAAGAGGAGGGGAGAAGUGCCCCAGAAAAAAUCAUCCAGUCUCUGAAGCUUUGCCCAGGUGGGCACAGGCCAGCCAGCCUCUCCUCUGGUUGCCCAGCUGGCUGCAGGCUGUCAUUUAACCUUCCGCCCAGCAUGCUUUUGAGUGUGCAGAAGUGCUGCAUGCCCUCUUCUUUGAAAACCUGUUGAGCAAAUGCCUCCGCAUUUUAUGCACCUUCAACCUCCACAGCCAAAGGCCCCCAAGACCAAACAUGCUGUGCACACACAGCAGCUCUUUGUGUCCCACUCCUGGCCGAUCUCCUGCAUCAUCUCGUUGAGCUUCAUUGAACCCCGCAGUCUGCAUGCUCUGUGGAACUCAGGGUCUUCAUUUUGCAUGAAACUCAGGGUCUUCAUUUUCCGUGGAACUCAAAGUCUUCUUGCUCUGUGGAACUUGGAGUCU